This 480-nucleotide long non-coding RNA is filed under the name Sinocyclocheilus anshuiensis. Its description in RNAcentral is "lncRNA (ENSSANG00000033558.1)". The record is from RNAcentral. Lineage: Eukaryota; Metazoa; Chordata; Actinopteri; Cypriniformes; Cyprinidae.
CGCGCCCGCUCUUAAGGGAAAAAUAAAGUGGAUACCACGGACAUGCAAUACAACCCGCUGCAACGGUGUAGCCCAAUUUCGCGGGAAAACCGCGGACUUGGCAACACUGCAGUUCUGUCGUCUGCCGCUUUAAAUGCUCCAGAGUCCAGUAAAUUCUGAUAGUUCCUAUCGCGGUGACGUCAUCGACGUCGGUGAAAUUGACGGGCCACCUGUCGGUGGAAUGGACCUCGCCUUUAAGAAGCUCCUGCAGGAUGAAAACCGGAGCUGUUCACAACACAUGGUGCUGAACGACGCCGACACACGCCGAGACAUUAGAGAGAGCGAAGACAACAGCGCAGAAACACUGUUUAUGCCGGAGAGCAUCCGAACAGUUUGAAGAGCCGCUGCUUGGGUCAGAUCUGGCGUGUUACGCAGCAAGAGGCCUUAAUGAGGAGACGUGUCAUAGGAGAACCUGCUCCAUUCGAGUCUCGUAGCAAAGGU